Molecule: ribosomal RNA, 253 nt
Filed under: uncultured bacterium
Lineage: Bacteria
Description: partial 16S ribosomal RNA
Rfam family: Bacterial small subunit ribosomal RNA
Source: RNAcentral
UACAGAGGUCUCAAGCGUUGUUCGGAUUCAUUGGGCGUAAAGGGUGCGUAGGCGGCGCGGUAAGUCGGGUGUGAAAUCCCCAGGCUUAACCUGGGAACUGCAUCCGAUACUGGUCGGCUUGAAUCCGGGAGAGGGAUGCAGAAUUCCAGGUGUAGCGGUGAAAUGCGUAGAUAUCUGGAGGAAUACCGGUGGCGAAGGCGGCAUCCUGGACCGGCAUUGACGCUGAACAGCGAAAGCUAGGGGAGCAAACGGG